GGCCUCGUAGCUCAGCUGGUAGAGCAUGCGCGUACAAAGCGUAGGCGGCGUCCAUGCGUCGGUUCCAAUCCCACCGAGGCUA
Molecule: non-coding RNA, 82 nt
Organism: Echinostoma caproni
Lineage: Eukaryota; Metazoa; Platyhelminthes; Trematoda; Plagiorchiida; Echinostomatidae
Source: Rfam